UAUCUUCGUUUUGGCAAUAAC
RNAcentral lists this non-coding RNA (21 nucleotides) under Caenorhabditis elegans. The record is from RNAcentral. Lineage: Eukaryota; Metazoa; Nematoda; Chromadorea; Rhabditida; Rhabditidae.